Molecule: long non-coding RNA, 623 nt
Organism: Cucumis sativus (cucumber)
Lineage: Eukaryota; Viridiplantae; Streptophyta; Magnoliopsida; Cucurbitales; Cucurbitaceae
Exons: 3
Source: RefSeq, a predicted model, not a curated record
ACUUCCUUCCCUCUUUUACAAUAAUAACAACACACCACAUUAUAUUCAUCUACCUCAUUCUUCCUUUUAAGUUUCCUUCUUACUUACUUAAGUUUAAAGCUAUUUCCUUUUUUUAGGUCUUAUUCAGAUGGGUUUUGUGAAUUUCAAGUGUUUGUUUCUGGGUUUUCUUCUAACCUUUGUUCCUUUUAGAAAUGGAGUUAUUGUAGUGGAAGGUAGCAGUAGGCCCUUUUCAAUUUCCCCAAUACUCAAGCUUCAAAAAGGUUUUAAGGGAUAUUAUGAUUCACAAAUUUUUGCAACAAUGGGAAUUGAAUGCAAGUGUUGUGAUGAGAUUGGAGGAAAGAAAAAGAGAGAGAAGAAAAAAAGAAAGUAGUGGUUUGGGAAUUUGGAUGCAUUGGAAAUGGUCAAAGAGAGAAGAUUAAAGAAAGGGUGAAGGUUGAAAAUGAAAUGUGGCGUUUUCCAUUAGAACUCUUCAAUCCUUUAACUUGUAGUCUCUGCAACUUCAACUUUUUUGCUGUUCUCUCACAUGAGAGAGAGAGAGAGAGAAACAAAUGAUAUUAUUGUUUCAUUGAUAUGAGAGACAUUGGAGAAGACGAUGAACAAAAAAAUACUUCAACUUUUUUGUG